UACGUAGGGAGCAAGCGUUGUCCGGAAUCAUUGGGCGUAAAGCGCGCGUAGGUGGCCCCAUAAGUCCGCUGUGAAAGUCAAAGGCUCAACCUUUGAAAGCCGGUGGAUACUGUGGGACUAGAGUACGGAAGAGGCGAGUGGAAUUCCUGGUGUAGCGGUGGAAUGCGCAGAUAUCAGGAGGAACACCAAUAGCGAAGGCAGCUCGCUGGGACGUUACUGACGCUGAGGUGCGAAAGCGUGGGGAGCAAACAGG
RNAcentral lists this ribosomal RNA (253 nucleotides) under uncultured bacterium. Its description in RNAcentral is "partial 16S ribosomal RNA". It matches the Rfam family "Bacterial small subunit ribosomal RNA", at positions 524 to 776 of the family's 1533-position model. The record is from RNAcentral.